CCUACGGGAGGCAGCAGUGAGGAAUAUUGGUCAAUGGGCGAGAGCCUGAACCAGCCAAGUAGCGUGAAGGAUGACGGCCCUACGGGUUGUAAACUUCUUUUGUGCGGGAAUAAAGGAACCUACGUGUAGGUUUUUGCAUGUACCGUAACGAAUAAGCAUCGGCUAACUCCGUGCCAGCAGCCGCGGUAAUACGGAGGAUGCGAGCGUUAUCCGGAUUUAUUGGGUUUAAAGGGAGCGUAGGCGGGUUGUUAAGUCAGUUGUGAAAGUUUGCGGCUCAACCGUAAAAUUGCAGUUGAUACUGGCGACCUUGAGUGCAACAGAGGUAGGCGGAAUUCGUGGUGUAGCGGUGAAAUGCUUAGAUAUCACGAAGAACCCCGAUUGCGAAGGCAGCCUGCUAAGCCGCCACUGACGUUGAGGCUCGAAA
This 424-nucleotide ribosomal RNA is filed under the name uncultured Massilimicrobiota sp. RNAcentral's name for it is "bacterial SSU rRNA". It matches the Rfam family "Bacterial small subunit ribosomal RNA", at positions 338 to 758 of the family's 1533-position model. The record is from RNAcentral. Lineage: Bacteria; Bacillati; Bacillota; Erysipelotrichia; Erysipelotrichales; Erysipelotrichaceae.